RNAcentral lists this ribosomal RNA (467 nucleotides) under uncultured bacterium. Its description in RNAcentral is "partial 16S ribosomal RNA". It matches the Rfam family "Bacterial small subunit ribosomal RNA", at positions 29 to 507 of the family's 1533-position model. The record is from RNAcentral.
ACGAACGCUGGCGGCUUGCUUAACACCUGCAAGUCGCACGGAAAGGCCCUGCUUUUGUGGGGUGCUCGAGUGGCGAACGGGUGAGUAACACGUGAGUAACCUGCCCUUGACUUUGGGAUAACUUCAGGAAACUGGGGCUAAUACCGGAUAGGAGCUCCUGCUGCAUGGUGGGGGUUGGAAAGUUUCGGCGGUUGGGGAUGGACUCGCGGCUUAUCAGCUUGUUGGUGGGGUAGUGGCUUACCAAGGCUUUGACGGGUAGCCGGCCUGAGAGGGUGACCGGCCACAUUGGGACUGAGAUACGGCCCAGACUCCUACGGGAGGCAGCAGUGGGGAAUAUUGCACAAUGGGCGGAAGCCUGAUGCAGCAACGCCGCGUGCGGGAUGACGGCCUUCGGGUUGUAAACCGCUUUCGCCUGUGACGAAGCGUGAGUGACGGUAAUGGGUAAAGAAGCACCGGCUAACUACGUG